This 492-nucleotide ribosomal RNA is filed under the name uncultured bacterium. RNAcentral describes it as "partial 16S ribosomal RNA". It matches the Rfam family "Bacterial small subunit ribosomal RNA", at positions 29 to 507 of the family's 1533-position model. The record is from RNAcentral.
AGUGAACGCUGGCGGUAGGCCUAACACAUGCAAGUCGAACGGCAGCACAGUAAGAGCUUGCUCUUACGGGUGGCGAGUGGCGGACGGGUGAGGAAUACAUCGGAAUCUACUUUUUCGUGGGGGAUAACGUAGGGAAACUUACGCUAAUACCGCAUACGACCUACGGGUGAAAGCAGGGGAUCUUCGGACCUUGCGCGAUUGAAUGAGCCGAUGUCGGAUUAGCUAGUUGGCGGGGUAAAGGCCCACCAAGGCGACGAUCCGUAGCUGGUCUGAGAGCAUGAUCAGCCACACUGGAACUGAGACACGGUCCAGACUCCUACGGGAGGCAGCAGUGGGGAAUAUUGGACAAUGGGCGCAAGCCUGAUCCAGCCAUACCGCGUGGGUGAAGAAGGCCUUCGGGCUGUAAAGCCCUUUUGUUGGGAAAGAAAAGCAGCAGGUUAAUACCCCGCUGUUCUGACGGUACCCAAAGAAUAAGCACCGGCUAACUUCGUG